AACCGAACGCCUACAAGCAGUCGGAGCUUGACUGGACUCUUAUGACAAUCUGCUUCAUUCAGGUGGCGUUAAGCCACGGGGGAAUGAGCAUGUCGGAUCUAGCGUUCGUGACGGAUGGGAGCAUGGCCGUUCUCGGUCUUGUGGCCGGCCUGAUCGACAUGGGUGUCAAUCACUGCCCGCGGGACGGGUGCCUCGCCAAGCGCGAUGCGAUGCCGCACGCGAGCGCAGCAAUCGGGCAGACCGUGUUCCAGGAAAACGCGGUUGGCGAAGAAAUCUAUCUUCGCCGCGAAACACGGCACGCCAACGGGCCGUUCCAGGUGGCCUACGGGCUCUCGGCGUCGAAUGACGGUGAGCUUUGGGCCGGGAUCGGACACACCUACACGAUGACCAACGCGAGCGAGAACCUGUUCCUGAAAUUCCACGCGAUGACCGGCCUCUACGACGAGGGCUCCGGCGUCGAUCUCGGCGGCCCCGUCGAAUUUCGCUCGGGCGUCGAGGUGGGGUUUCAGAACCGGGCGGGCGUCCGCUUCAGCCUCGGUGUUGAUCACCGAUCAAACGCCGGGCUUUACAGCCCGAACCCGGGUCUCGAAACCGUGCAUCUACGCGUCUCGAUCCCGACGAAAUGAUUGUUAUAAGUGUCCAGUCUUGUGACGGCGUACCUUUUGUAUAAUGGGUCAUCGACUUGGUCUAUCCAGCAAGCUUAAGCCGUUAGGUGUAGGCGCAGCGAAAGCGAGUCUUAAAUGGGCGUCGAGUUGGAUGGAUCAGACCCGAAACCGAGUGAUCUAGGCAUGGCCAGGCUGAAGGUAAGGUAGCACUUACUGGAGGGCCGAACCCACAUCUGUUGAAAAAGAUCGGGAUGAGCUGUGCCUAGGGGUGAAAGGCCAAUCAAACUCGGAGAUAGCUGGUUCUCCGCGAAAUCUAUUUAGGUAGAGCGUCAUCCGAAUACCCCGGGGGGUAGAGCACUGGAUGGGUAAUGGGGCCCCACAGGCUUACUGAUCCUAACCAAACUCCGAAUACCCGGGAGUACUAGAUGGCAGACACUCUGUGGGUGCUAACGCCCAUGGAGGAGAGGGAAACAACCCUGACCUGCAGCUAAGGCCCCUAAUUCAUGGCUAAGUGGGAAAGCAGGUGAGACGGCCAAAACAACCAGGAGGUUGGCUUAGAAGCAGCCAUCCUUUAAAGAUAGCGUAACAGCUCACUGGUCUAAAUAAGCUGUCUUGCGGCGAAGAUGUAACGGGGCUCAAGCCAUGAGCCGAAGCUCAGGAGUGCGUAAGCACUGGUAGCGGAGCGUAGUGUGACAUAGAUCCAUUCCUCCUUAGCGCCUUUCGCGGCGCGUUGGAGGAAAGGAUCUUUCGAUGAAGCCGGGGCGUGAGCCAGCCGGUGGAGAGAUCACUAGCGAGAAUGAUGACAUGAGUAGCGACAAACAGGGUGAGAGACCCUGUCGCCGAAAGUCCAAGGGUUCCUGCUUAAAGCUAAUCUGAGCAGGGUAAGCCGACCCCUAAGGCGAGGCCGAAAGGCGUAGUCGAUGGGAACCAGGUUAAUAUUCCUGGGCCAGGAGGAUGUGACGGAUUGUGACUGUUGUUCGGACUUAUCGGAUUGUCCGGGCCGCUGAUCAGUCCCUGGAAAUAGCACCUCCACAAGAUCGUACCCUAAACCAACACAGGUGGACUGGUAGAGCAUACCAAGGCGCUUGAGAGAACGAUGUUGAAGGAACUCGGCAAUAUACCUCCGUAAGUUCGCGAGAAGGAGGCCCGGGUCUUGGGCAACCAGGGUCCGGGGGCACAAACCAGGGGGUGGCGACUGUUUACUAAAAACACAGGGCUCUGCGAAGUCGCAAGACGACGUAUAGGGUCUGACGCCUGCCCGGUGCCUGAAGGUUAAAAGGAGGUGUGAGAGCACCGAAUUGAAGCCCAGGUAAACGGCGGCCGUAACUAUAACGGUCCUAAGGUAGCGAAAUUCCUUGUCGGGUAAGUUCCGACCUGCACGAAUGGCGUAACGACUGCCCCGCUGUCUCCAACAUCGACUCAGCGAAAUUGAAUUGCCUGUUAAGAUGCAGGCUACCCGCGGUUAGACGGAAAGACCCCGUGCACCUUUACUACAGCUUCGCACUGGCAUCAGGAUUGUGAUGUGCAGGAUAGGUGGCAGGCUUCGAAGCCGGGACGCUAGUUCCGGUGGAGCCACCCUUGAGAUACCACCCUUCGCACUCUUGAUGUCUAACCGCGACCCAUGAACCUGGGUCCGGGACCCUGCGUGGCGGGUAGUUUGACUGGGGCGGUCGCCUCCUAAAUGGUAACGGAGGCGCGCGAAGGUUGGCUCAGAGCGGUCGGAAAUCGCUCGUUGAGUGCAAUGGCAGAAGCCAGCCUGACUGCGAGACUGACAAGUCGAGCAGAGUCGAAAGACGGCCAUAGUGAUCCGGUGGUCCCGUGUGGAAGGGCCAUCGCUCAACGGAUAAAAGGUACGCCGGGGAUAACAGGCUGAUACUGCCCAAGAGUCCAUAUCGACGGCAGUGUUUGGCACCUCGAUGUCGGCUCAUCUCAUCCUGGGGCUGGAGCAGGUCCCAAGGGUACGGCUGUUCGCCGUUUAAAGAGGUACGUGAGCUGGGUUUAGAACGUCGUGAGACAGUUCGGUCCCUAUCUGCCGUGGGUGUAGGAUACUUGAGAGGAGUUGCCCCUAGUACGAGAGGACCGGGGUGAACGUUCCACUGGUGGACCUGUUGUGGCGCCAGCCGCAGUGCAGGGUAGCUAUGAACGGACUGGAUAACCGCUGAAGGCAUCUAAGCGGGAAGCCGCCCUCAAAACAAGGUAUCCCCGAGGACCGUGGUAGACCACCACGUCGAUAGGCCGGAGAUGUAAGCGCAGCAAUGCGUUCAGUUGACCGGUACUAAUUGUCCGACAGGCUUGAUU
This 2903-nucleotide ribosomal RNA is filed under the name Roseovarius salinarum. RNAcentral's name for it is "bacterial LSU rRNA". The stretch from base 566 to 2903 matches the Rfam family "Bacterial large subunit ribosomal RNA". Lineage: Bacteria; Pseudomonadati; Pseudomonadota; Alphaproteobacteria; Rhodobacterales; Roseobacteraceae. The record is from RNAcentral.